AUUGAACGCUGGCGGCAGGCCUAACACAUGCAAGUCGAACGCGAAAGUCACUUCGGUGGCGAGUAGAGUGGCGGACGGGUGAGUAACGCGUAGGAAUCUGCCCUGUAGUGGGGGAUAACCCGGGGAAACCCGGGCUAAUACCGCAUACGCCCCACGGGGGAAAGCGGGGGAUCUUCGGACCUCGCGCUAUAGGAAGAGCCUGCGUCGGAUUAGCUAGUUGGUAGGGUAAAGGCCUACCAAGGCGACGAUCCGUAGCUGGUCUGAGAGGAUGAUCAGCCACACCGGAACUGAGACACGGUCCGGACUCCUACGGGAGGCAGCAGUGGGGAAUAUUGCGCAAUGGGCGAAAGCCUGACGCAGCCAUGCCGCGUGUGGAAGAAGGCCUUCGGGUUGUAAAGC
Molecule: ribosomal RNA, 399 nt
Filed under: uncultured bacterium
Lineage: Bacteria
Description: bacterial SSU rRNA
Rfam family: Bacterial small subunit ribosomal RNA
Source: RNAcentral